This 1195-nucleotide ribosomal RNA is filed under the name Enterobacter sp. BND-R12. RNAcentral describes it as "bacterial SSU rRNA". It matches the Rfam family "Bacterial small subunit ribosomal RNA", at positions 47 to 1232 of the family's 1533-position model. The record is from RNAcentral. Lineage: Bacteria; Pseudomonadati; Pseudomonadota; Gammaproteobacteria; Enterobacterales; Enterobacteriaceae.
CUUUAACCCAUUGGCAAGUCCGAACGGUAACAGAGAAGCAGCUUGCCGCUACACCGACGAGUGGCGGACGGGUGAGUAAUGUCUGGAAUUCUACCUGAUGGAGGGGGAUAACCCCUGGAAACGGUAGCUAAUACCGCAUAACGUCGCAAGACCAAAGAGGGGGACCUUCUAGCCUCUUGCCAUCGGAUGUUUCGAAUGCAGUUAGCUAGUAGGUGGGGUAACGGCUCACCCAGGUGAUGAGCCCUAGCUGGUCUGAGGGGAUUACCAGUCACAUCCGACUUGACANACCGCCCAGACUCCUACGGGAGGCAGCAGUGGGGAAUAUUGCACAAUGGGCGCAAGCCUGAUGCGGCCAUGCCGCGUGUAUGAAGAAGGCCUUCGGGUUGUAAAGUACGCCCAGCGGGGAGGAAGGCGACAGGGUUAAUAAUUCUGUCGAUUAACGCUUCCCGCAGAAGAAGCACCGGCUAACUCCGUAUUAGCAGCCGCGGCAAUACGGAGGGUGCUGGCAUUAAUCGGAGUUACUGGGCGUAAAGCGCACGCCGGUGCUUCUUCAAGUCGGAUGCGAAAUCCCCGGGCUCAACCUGGUAACGUCAAUCGAAACUGGCAGGCCAGGGUUAUGUAGAGGGGGGUAGAAUUCCAGGUGUAACGGUGAAAUGCGUAGAGAUCUGGAGGAAUACCUGUCGCGAAGGCUUCCUCCCGGACAAAGACUGACGCUCAGGUGCGAAAGUGUGGGGAGCAAACAGGAUUAGAUACUUUAGUAGUCCACGCCGUAAACGAUGUCAACCCGAAGGUUGUGCCCUUGAGGCGUGGCUUCCGGAAUACACGCGUUAAGUCGACCGCCUGGGGAGCAUGGCUGCAAGGUUAAAACUCAAAUGAAUUGACGGGGGCUUGCGCAAGCGGUGGAGCAUGUGGUUCCAUUGUGCAAUACGAAGAACCUUCCCCACUGCUGCCUCCCGGAGAACUUAGGAGAGAUGCUUUGGUGCCUUCGGGAACUCUGGACCGGUGCUGCAUGGCUGUCGUCAGUUCCAGUUGUGAAAUGCUGGGUUAAGUCCCGCAACGAGCGCAACCCUCAUCCUCUGUUGCCAGCAGACCAGCUAGGGAUCCAAAGGAGGUCGCCUGUGAUAAACUGGAGGAAGGUGGGGAUGACGUCAAGCCGUUAUGGCCCCACCUAGUAGGGCUAAUCCCAUCUGCAAUG